Molecule: ribosomal RNA, 459 nt
Filed under: uncultured bacterium
Lineage: Bacteria
Description: partial 16S ribosomal RNA
Rfam family: Bacterial small subunit ribosomal RNA
Source: RNAcentral
CCUACGGGUGGCUGCAGUGAGGAAUAUUGGUCAAUGGCCGGAAGGCUGAACCAGCCAAGUCGCGUGAGGGACGACUGCCCUAUGGGUUGUAAACCUCUUUUAUAAGGGAAGAAUAAAUGCUACGUGUAGCAUGAUGCCUGUACCUUAUGAAUAAGCAUCGGCUAACUCCGUGCCAGCAGCCGCGGUAAUACGGAGGAUGCGAGCGUUAUCCGGAUUUAUUGGGUUUAAAGGGUGCGUAGGCGGGUUAUCAAGUCAGCGGUAAAAUCGUGGAGCUCAACUCCAUCCAGCCGUUGAAACUGAUGAUCUUGAGUGGGCGAGAAGUAUGCGGAAUGCGUGGUGUAGCGGUGAAAUGCAUAGAUAUCACGCAGAACUCCGAUUGCGAAGGCAGCAUACCGGCGCCCGACUGACGCUGAAGCACGAAAGCGUGGGUAUCGAACAGGAUUAGAUACCCGAGUAGUC